This 626-nucleotide ribosomal RNA is filed under the name Suillus spraguei. Its description in RNAcentral is "partial 25S ribosomal RNA". It matches the Rfam family "Eukaryotic large subunit ribosomal RNA", at positions 52 to 651 of the family's 3401-position model. Lineage: Eukaryota; Fungi; Basidiomycota; Agaricomycetes; Boletales; Suillaceae. The record is from RNAcentral.
CGAGGAAAAGAAACUAACAAGGAUUCCCCUAGUAACUGCGAGUGAACCGGGAAAAGCUCAAAUUUUGAAUCUGGCGGUCCAAGGGCCGUCCGAGUUGUAAUCUAGAGAAGCGUCUUCCGCGCUGGACCGUGUAUAAGUUUCCUGGAAUGGAACGUCGUAGAGGGUGACAAUCCCGUCUUUGACACGGACUCCCAGUGCUAUGUGAUGCGCUCUCGACGAGUCGAGUUGUUUGGGAAUGCAGCUCAAAUAGGGUGGUAAAUUCCAUCUAAAGCUAAAUACAGGCGAGAGACCGAUAGCGAACAAGUACCGUGAGGGAAAGAUGAAAAGAACUUUGGAAAGAGAGUUAAACAGUACGUGAAAUUGCUGAAAGGGAAACGCUUGAUGUCAGUCGCAUCGUCCGGGGAUCAGCCUCGCUCUUUUGCUCGGCGUACUUCCUGGUCGAUGGGUCAGCAUCGGUUUCGACCGUCGGAAAAUGGCUCGAGGAACGUGGCACUCUUCGGGGUGUGUUAUAGCCUCGAGUCGAAUACGACGGUCGGGACCGAGGAACUCAGCACGACCUUCGGGUUCGGGGCUUCGGCUCACGUUCGCGUGCUUAGGAUGCUGGCAUAAUGGCCUUAAGCGACCCG